Molecule: long non-coding RNA, 832 nt
Organism: Oncorhynchus masou masou (cherry salmon)
Lineage: Eukaryota; Metazoa; Chordata; Actinopteri; Salmoniformes; Salmonidae
Exons: 5
Source: RefSeq, a predicted model, not a curated record
CCUGACAUUCAAACACUGGCUUACACUCAAAUACUUAGUCCAAGUGAUUAUAAUUGGUUGCGAAAAGAUGUGCUGAACUGCUGGCGUAUUAUCUCAUCUCAUCAUCAACCACGUUCUGAGCCAGAUACAGGAAAUGCUUAUAUUUCAGUGUGACAGCGCCUUCCAAGCAGCGAUCAGAAUGAACAAGAGAAAAUGGUAAAGAAAGACAAAUGAGAUGAAGAUGCUUCCUAACGGUCGAUGUUUGUCUGUCAUCACAUUUUUUUUUACAAUUGAGUGCAUGUUGACACAUGUGAGAGGAAAUGACCUGGAAAGCAAUGAUGAACCAGAUGCUACGUAUGCUUUGAUUGGAGCAGGAAUUGGGCUCUUCUUUGCCAUAUGUUUUAUUGGCAGCAAGCUCUACAUUAUAAAAAAACACAUGCUUGAUAUCGAAGCUUCAGAGGAAUCCGUAAAAAACCCAUCUCAUCAAACUGCUUUUGUGGACAUGACGGACUUAAGAAGAGUAAGCGAUGGAUGAAGUGACAAGGAUACCGGAAGAUAAAUGGAAAUGUUUUGGGCAUGGAAAUGUAAAUAACAAUUGCAUGAUGUGUGAGUUGGAAGUGUCUAUAAACAUGUGAAAGUGGAGUCUAGACAUUAGUGUUUGGUCUGCCUGUGGUCAAGGAUAGCUAUACAGUAUACUGUAGUCCAGGCUUGGGCAAAGACCUGGACUACAUGCGGCCCGUUGAAUCAUGCUUAGAUCACAUAAAGAAUUUGCGAUGGUAAAAAAAAAAAAAAACGUAGUUGUUAUUCAAAUUAAAAGUCCAAUGAAUACUCGCCUUUGUAUAAUGAUUUAACU